CGUGGGAGUAAAACGGUGAAAGAAGAACAGAUCGGGAGUGAGGUGAAACUGGAGGAGAGGAACGAAAGAAAGAAAGAAAGAGAAAGAAGGAGAUAUAAUGAAAGCUGAAGAGAGGUUUCUGCUGGACGAAUGAUUCCAGACUCCAGACCGGAUUCACUGGGAAGAAGAGAAAGAACGUGGAAAACAGGAGGUUUGCAAACAGGUAUCUCACGUCACGUUUGAUUGUGCAAUUGUUUGCCGACUCAAGAUAGCAGCGAGGAA
Carassius gibelio (silver crucian carp) is the source of this 261-nucleotide long non-coding RNA. RefSeq lists it as uncharacterized. NCBI's taxonomy places the organism in Eukaryota, Metazoa, Chordata, Actinopteri, Cypriniformes, Cyprinidae. The record is from RefSeq and is a predicted model, not a curated record. The transcript is spliced from 2 exons.